Molecule: ribosomal RNA, 497 nt
Filed under: uncultured bacterium
Lineage: Bacteria
Description: partial 16S ribosomal RNA
Rfam family: Bacterial small subunit ribosomal RNA
Source: RNAcentral
GAUGAACGCUGGCGGCGUGCCUAAUACAUGCAAGUCGAGCGAACGGACGAGAAGCUUGCUUCUCUGAUGUUAGCGGCGGACGGGUGAGUAACACGUGUAUAACCUACCUAUAAGACUGGGAUAACUUCGGGAAACCGGAGCUAAUACCGUAUAAUAUUUUGAACCGCAUGGUUCAAAAGUGAAAGACGGUCUUGCUGUCACUUAUAGAUGGAUCCGCGCUGCAUUAGCUAGUUGGUAAGGUAACGGCUUACCAAGGCAACGAUGCAUAGCCGACCUGAGAGAGUGAUCGGACACACUGGAACUGAGACACGGUCAAGACUCCUACGGGAGGCAGCAGUAGGGAAUCGUACGCAAUGGGCGAAAGCAUGACGGAGCAACGCCGAGUGAGUGAUGAAGGUCUUCGGAUCGUAAAACUCUGUUAUUAGGGAAGAACAUAUGUGUAAGUAACUGUGCACAGCUUGACGGUACCUAAUCAGAAAGCCACGGCUAACUACGUG